This is a long non-coding RNA of Lolium rigidum, 910 nucleotides long. RefSeq lists it as uncharacterized. The transcript is spliced from 3 exons. NCBI's taxonomy places the organism in Eukaryota, Viridiplantae, Streptophyta, Magnoliopsida, Poales, Poaceae. The record is from RefSeq and is a predicted model, not a curated record.
UCUACACUGUCAGGGAAGAACACCGUCCUCGGGUAGGCAAGCGUCAGUGUCCUAUCCUUGGUCUUCAGGUCCUUACCGGCCCAUGGUCGUAUCAUAGUUUUACAGAAGUUUUUGUGGUAUCCCUAAUUCAAAUAUAUUUCGUAGAUCAGAAUUCAAGAAAAAUAUGUUACUUCUUAUGAAUAUCUUCUGGUCUUCUCCAUUUUAGACUAUUUAAUUAAUACCUAGGAAGUCCAUACUUUCAGUGUCAUUGCGUAUAUGAUCUAGUAUUUUUAUUUUGGGACUUCAGUUAUUCUUACCACUUGUGCAUGGUCCAGUUUAUUUUCAGAAAGGAUUCUAAAAAGUGCCCUACAUUUACCAUGCUAAAGACAUUGGUACUCAAUGAUUGGUGUGUAGCUGCUGACUUAGGUGUAUUAGUUCGCCUUCUCCAGCACACACCAGUUCUGGAGAAUCUUACUCUCCAACUUCAACCUCGUGAGGAAUCUGUAGUUGAAACAGAUGAAAGCUAUAACCUAGCAGAACAGCUGUUGUUACUGAAGCAUCUAAAGGUAGUUGAAAUCAAAUGUUAUAAGGAAGAUGAGGUGGUUCACAAAAUUGUAUCAAUCCUGAGUACCUUUGGAGUACUUCCUGAGCAAAUUGACAUUGAACAAAAUUUCUUUCGGGAUCCAGAAAGCUGCAGUUUUGAGUUCUCAGAUUAAGGUCCAAACUGUGAUGGAUGAUGGAUCUACUACAUCUUAUCAUUUAGAAUGUUGUUGCUGGAACCUGCAGCCAUGGGUUUGCUGUCUUCUGCGUUUUUGGAUUUUAUGUAUCAGUCCGGUUGUAUCAGAAAGUGUAUAAGCCGUAUUGACUUUAUGGAUCCAGUUCGAUGUUGCUCUGUGCACUUAUGUGUGAUGUUUUUAUCUACAGAACCUUA